This 396-nucleotide ribosomal RNA is filed under the name uncultured bacterium. Its description in RNAcentral is "bacterial SSU rRNA". It matches the Rfam family "Bacterial small subunit ribosomal RNA", at positions 335 to 724 of the family's 1533-position model. The record is from RNAcentral.
ACUCCUACGGGAGGCAGCAGUGGGAAUAUUGCACAAUGGGCGCAAGCCUGAUGCAGCCAUGCCGCGUGUGUGAAGAAGGCCUUCGGGUUGUAAAGCACUUUCAGUAAGGAGGAAAGGUUAGUCACUAAUAUUGGCUAGCUGUGACGUUACUUACAGAAGAAGCACCGGCUAACUCCGUGCCAGCAGCCGCGGUAAUACGGAGGGUGCGAGCGUUAAUCGGAAUUACUGGGCGUAAAGCGCAUGCAGGCGGCCUGUUAAGUCAGAUGUGAAAGCCCGGGGCUUAACCUCGGAAUUGCAUUUGAAACUGGCAGGCUAGAGUCUUGUAGAGGGGGUGAGAAUUUCAGGUGUAGCGGUGAAAUGCGUAGAGAUCUGAAGGAAUACCAGUGGCGAAGGCGG